This is a long non-coding RNA of Drosophila subpulchrella, 803 nucleotides long. RefSeq lists it as uncharacterized. The record is from RefSeq and is a predicted model, not a curated record. NCBI's taxonomy places the organism in Eukaryota, Metazoa, Arthropoda, Insecta, Diptera, Drosophilidae. The transcript has 3 exons.
GCUCAUUAAUUUUGCCUAUUUUUGAUAGCCUUAACGGAGUGUUUUAAAUAUGGUAAGCAUUUCGAAAACUCUAUGUUUUUUAAUUCAAUGAUUAUGAUCUAUUUUCUAUCUUGGAAAAACUAAUCAAAUCGCUUCCUUUCAGACAUACAUUUUGAAAAGAAAACUCAUUUUAAUUUAUUUGUUUAAGUUCUUAAAAUUAUCUGGUAUAAGUUUACUGAUAACAUAUUUUCUUAAUUAUAGGAAAUAAUAUUACUUGUGGCAGGGUAUGCAAAUGCCGAAGUGCGCGGAUCGAAAUAUUUUUUGCCACUUAGCAGCGUAAUCAGCAUCAACAUCGGCAACAGCACCACAUCAAGCAUCGACAUCAAUUUCUGAUGUUUAAGUUUCGUUUUGGAACACUGCGCAAAUUUGGUCAAAUCAAGCCGAAAACCGUGGUUUCAGAUGUGUUUGUUAAACCUUAUCUAUCUGAUGGAUGUAUCAAUCUAUUAUUAUAAUACAGCGGUCGGCACGGAAAACAACGACAUUUUAUCUUUAAUUUGUGAGUGGCGACGUUAUACGUGUGCUGGCAGAGGAAGAGCAGAGCUAUUUCCUAUGCCCGCUUAAUGGGACGCUGCCGACCGCUGGUAUAAAGCUUCGAAAUUUGAUGAAAUGGAGACGUCCUUAUAUGAAAAUAUUUACCCAUGUUUUAAAAUGAUGGAACAUGUAAAACGCUACCCACAUUUCUCGCCCAAGCUUACCAAAAAUAACCCCAUCGAGUGGCAAGGACUUAGGGCAUUGGGAUACAGAUGGACUGCAAGAUGAGGAGG